GACCACCUAGUUUUUUGGGUUAAGGCCAUACGGACAGCCGGGUCGAUUGCCGA
RNAcentral lists this small RNA (53 nucleotides) under uncultured Acutalibacter sp. RNAcentral's name for it is "Streptococcus sRNA SpF59 (ldcC RNA)". It matches the Rfam family "Streptococcus sRNA SpF59 (ldcC RNA)". Lineage: Bacteria; Bacillati; Bacillota; Clostridia; Eubacteriales; Acutalibacteraceae. The record is from RNAcentral.